UGGGGAAUAUUGGACAAUGGGGGCAACCCUGAUCCAGCAAUGCCGCGUGUGUGAAGAAGGUCUUCGGGAUUGUAAAGCACUUUCGACGGGGACGAUGAUGACGGUACCCGUAGAAGAAGCCCCGGCUAACUUCGUGCCAGCAGCCGCGGUAAUACGAAGGGGGCUAGCGUUGCUCGGAAUGACUGGGCGUAAAGGGCGUGUAGGCGGUUUACACAGUCAGAUGUGAAAUCCCCGGGCUUAACCUGGGAGCUGCAUUUGAUACGUGUAGACUAGAGUGUGAGAGAGGGUUGUGGAAUUCCCAGUGUAGAGGUGAAAUUCGUAGAUAUUGGGAAGAACACCGGUGGCGAAGGCGGCAACCUGGCUCAUGACUGACGCUGAGGCGCGAAAGCGUGGGGAGCAAACAGGUUAGAUACCCUGGUAGUCCACGCUGUAAACGAUGUGUGCUAGAUGUUGGGUAACUUUGUUAUUCAGUGUCGCAGU
Molecule: ribosomal RNA, 480 nt
Filed under: uncultured bacterium
Lineage: Bacteria
Description: partial 16S ribosomal RNA
Rfam family: Bacterial small subunit ribosomal RNA
Source: RNAcentral